GUGCUCACUUUGGCAGCACAUAUACUAAAAUUGAAGCAA
This 39-nucleotide small nuclear RNA is filed under the name Cervus elaphus hippelaphus. The record is from RNAcentral. Lineage: Eukaryota; Metazoa; Chordata; Mammalia; Artiodactyla; Cervidae.